UCCUUCGCUCCUGAUUCUCAGCUUAGCAUGCAAACUUGAGAAGGAAAUACCCUUCAGAUAAAAUUCAUGCUGAAGUUGUAACAACUCCAAAACUACUCUAGUGACAGGGACAAAGGACUAAAAGCACAUCGGCUUUGUAAAAAGAGCAGAGUGAUACACCAAGGACGAUGAGAUAAAAUUGUGCAAGUGCCUGAAGAAGACAAUAAGGAAAAUACUUUUUUUCAUACAAACUUUUAAGUUAAUUGUGGAUGUGUAAAGCCAAAAUCAAAAUGUGAUCAUUCAGAUGCAGGAACCAGUUCAUUCAAGGAAUUGAACCUGAGAGAAGGUACUGGAGCUGCAAAAGGGACCUGAGUGCUCAAACCUGAAGUUCCAGUUCCACUACAAGCAGGCAACCCCUGUGUUCUUCCACUCCUAGGGGGGGAAAAAGGUUCAUCAUACCCAAGUAAACCCUGAGUCAGAAUGAGUUACAAGGCAAGGCCUGCAGAAAAGAUUCAAAAAUAAAACUUGAUCUGAUAAUUCGAGUAUUA
RNAcentral lists this long non-coding RNA (527 nucleotides) under Crocodylus porosus (Australian saltwater crocodile). Its description in RNAcentral is "lncRNA (ENSCPRG00005011439.1)". Lineage: Eukaryota; Metazoa; Chordata; Crocodylia; Crocodylidae. The record is from RNAcentral.